GCAUUGGUUGUUCCGUGGUAGAAUUCUUGCCUUCCAUGUGAGAAACCCAGGUUUGAUUCCUGGCCAAUGCA
This 71-nucleotide transfer RNA is filed under the name Loxodonta africana (African savanna elephant). It matches the Rfam family "tRNA". Rfam says of the family: Transfer RNA (tRNA) molecules are approximately 80 nucleotides in length. The record is from Rfam by way of RNAcentral. Lineage: Eukaryota; Metazoa; Chordata; Mammalia; Proboscidea; Elephantidae.